RNAcentral lists this small nucleolar RNA (119 nucleotides) under Dipodomys ordii (Ord's kangaroo rat). Its description in RNAcentral is "Small nucleolar RNA SNORA15 (ENSDORG00000028059.1)". It matches the Rfam family "Small nucleolar RNA SNORA15", at positions 24 to 137 of the family's 137-position model. Rfam says of the family: ACA15 is a member of the H/ACA class of snoRNA that guide the sites of modification of uridines to pseudouridines. The record is from RNAcentral. Lineage: Eukaryota; Metazoa; Chordata; Mammalia; Rodentia; Heteromyidae.
GCUGGAGUAAUUUACACAGCCAGAACCCAUGCAAAAGUAAAGUAUUCCUUUUUUAAAUGACUAUGAUUGAUAUGCUAAAUUUUUAAAUAGUAUGUCAUUUACUGAAAGCAAAUACAAAU